GAUGAACGCUGGCGGCGUGCCUAAUACAUGCAAGUCGAGCGAACGGACGAGAAGCUUGCUUCUCUGAUGUUAGCGGCGGACGGGUGAGUAACACGUGGAUAACCUACCUAUAAGACUGGGAUAACUUCGGGAAACCGGAGCUAAUACCGGAUAAUAUUUUGAACCGCAUGGUUCAAAAGUGAAAGACGGUCUUGCUGUCACUUAUAGAUUGAUCCGCGCUGCAUUAGCUAGUUGGUAAGGUAACGGCUUACCAAGGCAACGAUGCAUAGCCGACCUGAGAGGGUGAUCGGCCACACUGGAACUGAGACACGGUCCAGACUCCUACGGGAGGCAGCAGUAGGGAAUCUUCCGCAAUGGGCGAAAGCCUGACGGAGCAACGCCGCGUGAGUGAUGAAGGUCUUCGGAUCGUAAAACUCUGUUAUUAGGGAAGAACAUAUGUGCAAGUAACUGUGCACAUCUUGACGGUACCUAAUCAGAAAGCCACGGCUAACUACGUG
Molecule: ribosomal RNA, 497 nt
Filed under: uncultured bacterium
Lineage: Bacteria
Description: partial 16S ribosomal RNA
Rfam family: Bacterial small subunit ribosomal RNA
Source: RNAcentral